UACGUAGGGGGCGAGCGUUGUCCGAAUUUACUGGGCGUAAAGCGCGUGUAGGCGGCCCUUUAAGUGAGAUGUGAAAUCCCGUGGCUCAACCACGGAACUGCAUUUCAAACUGGAGAGCUUGAGUUUGGGAGAGGAGAGUGGAAUUCCUGGUGUAGCGGUGAAAUGCGUAGAUAUCAGGAGGAACACCCGUGGCGAAGGCGGCUCUCUGGCCCAACACUGACGCUGAGACGCGAAAGCUAGGGGAG
RNAcentral lists this ribosomal RNA (245 nucleotides) under uncultured bacterium. RNAcentral describes it as "partial 16S ribosomal RNA". It matches the Rfam family "Bacterial small subunit ribosomal RNA", at positions 524 to 768 of the family's 1533-position model. The record is from RNAcentral.